This 464-nucleotide ribosomal RNA is filed under the name uncultured bacterium. RNAcentral describes it as "partial 16S ribosomal RNA". It matches the Rfam family "Bacterial small subunit ribosomal RNA", at positions 339 to 795 of the family's 1533-position model. The record is from RNAcentral.
CUACGGGAGGCUCCAGUGGGGAAUAUUGCACAAUGGGCGCAAGCCUGAUGCAGCCAUGCCGCGUGUAUGAAGAAGGCCUUCGGGUUGUAAAGUACUUUCAGCGGGGAGGAAGGGAGUAAAGUUAAUACCUUUGCUCAUUGACGUUACCCGCAGAAGAAGCACCGGCUAACUCCGUGCCAGCAGCCGCGGUAAUACGGAGGGUGGAAGCGUUAAUCGGAAUUACUGGGCGUAAAGCGCACGCAGGCGGUUGGUUAAGUCAGAUGUGAAAUCCCCGGGCUCAACCUGGGAACUGCAUCUGAUACUGGCAAGCUUGAGUCUCGUAGAGGGGGGUAGAAUUCCAGGUGUAGCGGUGAAAUGCGUAGAGAUCUGGAGGAAUACCGGUGGCGAAGGCGGCCCCCUGGACGAAGACUGACGCUCAGGUGCGAAAGCGUGGGGAGCAAACAGGAUUAGAUACCCUUGUAGUC